GACGAACGCUGGCGGCGUGCUGAACACAUGCAAGUCGAACGGAAAGGCCCUGCUUUUGUGGGGUGCUCGAGUGGCGAACGGGUGAGUAACACGUGAGUAACCUGCCCUUGACUUUGGGAUAACUUCAGGAAACUGGGGCUAAUACCGGAUAGGAGCUCCUGCUGCAUGGUGGAGGUUGGAAAGUUUCGGCGGUUGGGGAUGGACUCGCGGCUUAUCAGCUUGUUGGUGGGGUAGUGGCUUACCAAGGCUUUGACGGGUAGCCGGCCUAAGAGGGUGACCGGCCACAUUGGGACUGAGAUACGGCCCAGACUCCUACGGGAGGCAGCAGUGGGGAAUAUUGCACAAUGGGCGGAAGCCUGAUGCAGCAACGCCGCGUGCGGGAUGACGGCCUUCGGGUUGUAAACCGCUUUCGCCUGUGACGAAGCGUGAGUGACGGUAAUGGGUAAAGAAGCACCGGCUAACUACGUG
Molecule: ribosomal RNA, 468 nt
Filed under: uncultured bacterium
Lineage: Bacteria
Description: partial 16S ribosomal RNA
Rfam family: Bacterial small subunit ribosomal RNA
Source: RNAcentral